GACGAACGCUGGCGGCGUGCUUAACACAUGCAAGUCGAACGGAAAGGCCCUGCUCUCGUGGGGUGCUCGAGUGGCGAACGGGUGAGUAACACGUGAGUAACCUGCCCUUGACUUUGGGAUAACUUCAGGAAACUGGGGCUAAUACCGGAUAGGAUCUCCUGCUGAAUGGCGGGGGUUGGAAAGUUUCGGCGGUCGGGGAUGGACUCGCGGCUUAUCAGAUUGAUGGGGGGGUAGUGGCUUACCAAGGCUUGGACGGGUAGCCGGCCUGAGAGGGUGACCGGCCACAUUGGGACUGAGAUACGGCCCAGACUCCUACGGGAGGCAGCAGUGGGGAAGAUUGCACUAUGGGCGGACGCCUGAUGCAGCAACGCCGCGUGCGGGAUGGCGGCCUUCGGGUUGGAAGCCGCGUUCGCCUGUGACGGAGCGUGAGUGACGGUAAUGGGUAAAGAAGCCCCGGCUAACUACGUG
This 468-nucleotide ribosomal RNA is filed under the name uncultured bacterium. RNAcentral's name for it is "partial 16S ribosomal RNA". It matches the Rfam family "Bacterial small subunit ribosomal RNA", at positions 28 to 507 of the family's 1533-position model. The record is from RNAcentral.